CUACGGGAGGCUGCAGUGGGGAAUAUUGCACAAUGGGGGAAACCCUGAUGCAGCAACGCCGCGUGGAGGAUGACACAUUUCGGUGCGUAAACUCCUUUUAUAUGAGAAGAUAAUGACGGUAUCAUAUGAAUAAGCUCCGGCUAACUCCGUGCCAGCAGCCGCGGUAAUACGGGGGGAGCAAGCGUUACUCGGAAUCACUGGGCGUAAAGAGCAUGUAGGCUGAUAAAAAAGUUAGAAGUGAAAUCCUGUGGCUUAACCAUAGAACUGCUUCUAAAACUCUUUAUCUAGAAUAUGGGAGAGGUAGAUGGAAUUUCUGGUGUAGGGGUAAAAUCCGUAGAGAUCAGAAGGAAUACCGAUUGCGAAGGCGAUCUACUGGAACAUAAUUGACGCUGAGAUGCGAAAGCGUGGGGAGCAAACAGGAUUAGAUACCCUAGUAGUC
RNAcentral lists this ribosomal RNA (439 nucleotides) under uncultured bacterium. Its description in RNAcentral is "partial 16S ribosomal RNA". It matches the Rfam family "Bacterial small subunit ribosomal RNA", at positions 339 to 795 of the family's 1533-position model. The record is from RNAcentral.